AGUGAGCGCUGGCGGUAGACCUAACACAUGCAAGUCGAACGGCAGCACAGUAAGAGCUUGCUCUUACGGGUGGCGAGUGGCGGACGGGUGAGGAAUACAUCGGAAUCUACUUUUUCGUGGGGGAUAACGUAGGGAAACUUACGCUAAUACCGCAUACGACCUACGGGUGAAAGCAGGGGAUCUUCGGACCUUGCGCGAUUGAAUGAGCCGAUGUCGGAUUAGCUAGUUGGCGGGGUAAAGGCCCACCAAGGCGACGAUCCGUAGCUGGUCUGAGAGGAUGAUCAGCCACACUGGAACUGAGACACGGUCCAGACUCCUACGGGAGGCAGCAGUGGGGAAUAUUGGACAAUGGGCGCAAGCCUGAUCCAGCCAUACCGCGUGGGUGAAGAAGGCCUUCGGGUUGUAAAGCCCUUUUGUUGGGAAAGAAAAGCAGCAGGUUAAUACCCCGCUGUUCUGACGGGACCCAAAGAAUAAGCACCGGCUAACUUCGU
This 491-nucleotide ribosomal RNA is filed under the name uncultured bacterium. Its description in RNAcentral is "partial 16S ribosomal RNA". It matches the Rfam family "Bacterial small subunit ribosomal RNA", at positions 29 to 506 of the family's 1533-position model. The record is from RNAcentral.